RNAcentral lists this long non-coding RNA (771 nucleotides) under Olea europaea (common olive). RNAcentral describes it as "long non-coding RNA (OEUR_LNC008193)". Lineage: Eukaryota; Viridiplantae; Streptophyta; Magnoliopsida; Lamiales; Oleaceae. The record is from RNAcentral.
UUCUCUCAUUCAAAUCUUGAAGAAGAAAUUGACAGAGGAGAUCACAUUUAGGGUAAAAAUUUAUGUUCUUUUUGUGGGUUUAUGGCAUUUUUAUUUUUUAAAUUUUACAAAAAAGUCCUAUUUUCCCUUCAUAGGUUUUUCUUCCUCUAUUAUCUCUCUCUCUCUCUCUAUUUUUUUUUUCCCAUUGAGAAGUUUAUUACAAUGUAUUUUUUUCUGAUGCAAAAAGGAUUUUUUUUUUGAACAUGAAAAAAAAUCCUACUAUUUCUUGAUUUUCAUAUGCAUCUUGUGAAUCAUUUUUAAUUAUGAUUUAUUUAAUAUUUUCCAUCUUUGUUUAAAGAGUUGGACUAAUGCUUAUAUCCAUUGUACUGUAAAAUUGAUUUAUGUUGAUUAAGAUCGAUUCACGUUGUUUUAGUUGUUUCUUCAGCCGAUAUCGACUAGAAUGAGAUGAUGAAACUUUGGAGUUUGUUACAGUCGCAAAAAUGAGACGUCGACAUAUUAUUGCAUAUUUGCAGGUGACUUUCAACAAGGAAAAAGGAAUUGCUAGAAUGUGACAGGAAAGGAAAGGUUUCGGAUUGAACGGGUGAUUUGAAUUACGUUUGUGGUAGAAAGACUAAUAUGAUAUUGAUUUCAAUUUGUUAUGUGGAAUUUGAAUUGAAAAACCAUGUUGGGCAAAACAUAGUUGCCAAGGGAUGAUUCCUUGCCCGGUUCUCCGCCUUUUUGAUUUCUGAUUACAUAUUGUCACUCUCGUUUCUGCUAGAAAUAAACCCACUA